AAAUGCAAGUUGCAUCCCCAAAUGCGAGGCUGGCCUGACCAAAAAGAGCCACUCGGCGCCCGGAAGAGGCGAGACUCGCGCUCGGGUUCUCAAUCCUUCUCUUUUCUCCUUUCUUUUUCCCUUUCUCCUCUCCGGUUCCUGAUUUAGCUGGGAGCUGUUUAUUUAUGGCUGCAAAUGUGUGUGUUCAAGAGAGAGAGGGAAUUGAUCUUUGCCUGGACUUAAAGAUGGAGCCGAAGAAGCUGGAGGGAAUUUGGGCUUGUGCGUCUGGCCCAGACCCUGUGCGCCGAGCCCGAGGUCUAUCCUCCCCGCACCUCUCACCUCGCGACCUUGCAGGAAUCCGCGGGCCCGGAUGCUGCCCAGCUGACCCUCCUGCCCCGGGCCCGGCUGCAGAGAAAGUCUUCGAGCAGGAGGCCAGCCUGUUCCUGUCUUUAAAAUGAGCACAAUAAAAGGGGGCAAAUCCUCGAACGCGAACCUGAUCUCAUGUCACAGAAGCAACUUGCCAUGAAAUCCGCUAAUGCGCUGCGACUCGCCCACCAGGCAUCUGGGGAAAAGACGCCCUGACUCAAGGGUGU
Molecule: long non-coding RNA, 572 nt
Filed under: Pan troglodytes (chimpanzee)
Lineage: Eukaryota; Metazoa; Chordata; Mammalia; Primates; Hominidae
Description: lincRNA
Source: RNAcentral